UGCAAGUCGAGCGCAGGAAGCAAGUUGAUCCCCUUCGGGGGUGACGCUUGUGGAAUGAGCGGCGGACGGGUGAGUAACACGUGGGCAACCUGCCUGUAAGACUGGGAUAACCCCGGGAAACCGGGGCUAAUACCGGAUAAUACUUUCUUUUGCAUAAAGGAAAGUUGAAAGGCGGCUUCGGCUGUCACUUACAGAUGGGCCCGCGGCGCAUUAGCUAGUUGGUGAGGUAACGGCUCACCAAGGCGACGAUGCGUAGCCGACCUGAGAGGGUGAUCGGCCACACUGGGACUGAGACACGGCCCAGACUCCUACGGGAGGCAGCAGUAGGGAAUCUUCCGCAAUGGACGAAAGUCUGACGGAGCAACGCCGCGUGAGUGAUGAAGGUUUUCGGAUCGUAAAACUCUGUUGUUAGGGAAGAACAAGUUGGGUAGUAACUGACCCAACCUUGACGGUACCUAACCAGAAAGCCACGGCUAACUACGUGCCAGCAGCCGCGGUAAUACGUAGGUGGCAAGCGUUGUCCGGAAUUAUUGGGCGUAAAGCGCUCGCAGGCGGUCCUUUAAGUCUGAUGUGAAAUCUCGCGGCUCAACCGCGAACGGUCAUUGGAAACUGGAGGACUUGAGUACAGAAGAGGAGAGUGGAAUUCCACGUGUAGCGGUGAAAUGCGUAGAGAUGUGGAGGAACACCAGUGGCGAAGGCGACUCUCUGGUCUGUAACUGACGCUGAGGAGCGAAAGCGUGGGGAGCGAACAGGAUUAGAUACCCUGGUAGUCCACGCCGUAAACGAUGAGUGCUAGGUGUUAGGGGGUUUCCGCCCCUUAGUGCUGAAGUUAACGCAUUAAGCACUCCGCCUGGGGAGUACGGCCGCAAGGCUGAAACUCAAAAGAAUUGACGGGGGCCCGCACAAGCGGUGGAGCAUGUGGUUUAAUUCGAAGCAACGCGAAGAACCUUACCAGGUCUUGACAUCCUCUGCUAUUCCUAGAGAUAGGAAGUUCCCUUCGGGGACAGAGUGACAGGUGGUGCAUGGUUGUCGUCAGCUCGUGUCGUGAGAUGUUGGGUUAAGUCCCGCAACGAGCGCAACCCUUGAUCUUAGUUGCCAGCAUUUAGUUGGGCACUCUAAGGUGACUGCCGGUGACAAACCGGAGGAAGGUGGGGAUGACGUCAAUCAUCAUG
RNAcentral lists this ribosomal RNA (1172 nucleotides) under Oceanobacillus picturae. Its description in RNAcentral is "bacterial SSU rRNA". It matches the Rfam family "Bacterial small subunit ribosomal RNA", at positions 56 to 1197 of the family's 1533-position model. The record is from RNAcentral. Lineage: Bacteria; Bacillati; Bacillota; Bacilli; Caryophanales; Bacillaceae.